This 400-nucleotide ribosomal RNA is filed under the name uncultured bacterium. RNAcentral describes it as "bacterial SSU rRNA". It matches the Rfam family "Bacterial small subunit ribosomal RNA", at positions 355 to 762 of the family's 1533-position model. The record is from RNAcentral.
UGGGGAAUAUUGGACAAUGGGCGCAAGCCUGAUCCAGCCACGCCGCGUGAGUGAUGAAGGCCUUCGGGUUGUAAAGCUCUGUCGUGAGGGACGAAGGUGGCAACACUUGACGGUACCUCACAAGAAAGCACCGGCUAACUCCGUGCCAGCAGCCGCGGUAAUACGGAGGGUGCAAGCGUUGCUCGGAAUCACUGGGCGUAAAGCGCACGCAGGCGGUCUGGUAAGUCGGACGUGAAAGCCCUGGGCUCAACCCAGGAACCGCGUUCGAUACUGCCCGACUUGAGUACGGGAGAGGGAGGUGGAAUUCCUGGUGUAGAGGUGAAAUUCGUUGAUAUCAGGAGGAACACCGGCGGCGAAAGCGGCCUCCUGGCCCGUUACUGACGCUCAUGUGCGAAAGCGU